AAUUUCUCUCUCUCCAAUUUCUCUCGACCCCUCCAUUUCACUUUCCCAGCUCCGCCGUAUUUUUCUCCUGAGGGUGUGAAAUGGCAGCUACAUCAGCAACUACUCUAUCAGUUGGCUCAACCACAUCUCUUGGUUGCAAAGGGAGCUCAAUAUCACAAUCAAAAGCCUUUGGUGUGAAAUUCAACUCCAAAAACAACAUUAGGAGUUUCAGUGGUUUGAAGGCUGCGACAACUGUAAGCUGUGAAUCAGAAUCGUCCUUUAUUGGUAAAGAAAGUCUUGCUGCCCUUAAACAAUCUAUUACUCCAAAGGCCCAAAAAGGAAACAGGGGAUAUGUUAGUUGUGUUCAGCCUCAAGCAUCUUACAAAGUGGCUAUUCUUGGAGCGAGUGGUGGUAUUGGCCAACCUUUGGCUCUUUUGGUCAAGAUGUCACCACUAGUUUCAGAGCUGAACCUUUAUGAUAUAGCUAAUGUCAAAGGAGUUGCAGCUGAUCUCAGUCACUGCAACACUCCCUCCCAAGUUUCAGAUUUCACUGGAGCAUCUGAAUUGGCUAACUGCUUGAAAGGUGUAAAUGUGGUGGUCAUACCUGCUGGUGUUCCAAGAAAGCCAGGUAUGACACGUGAUGACCUGUUCAACAUUAACGCAAACAUUGUGAAGACAUUGGUUGAGGCUGUUGCUGAUAACUGCCCGGAUGCAUUUAUCCACAUCAUUAGCAAUCCAGUCAACUCCACAGUGCCAAUUGCAGCAGAGGUGUUGAAGCGAAAGGGUGUUUAUGAUCCGAAAAAACUUUUUGGAGUUACCACCCUAGAUGUAGUUAGGGCAAACACAUUUGUUGCUCAGAAGAAAAACUUGAGGCUUAUAGACGUAGAUGUGCCAGUUGUAGGUGGCCAUGCUGGUAUUACCAUUUUGCCUUUGUUAUCAAAGACAAAACCAUCAACUACUUUCACUGACGAAGAAGUACAGGAGCUAACUGUGAGGAUUCAAAAUGCUGGCACUGAAGUUGUGGAGGCAAAGGCUGGUGCAGGGUCUGCUACACUUUCCAUGGCUUAUGCUGCUGCAAGAUUUGUUGAGUCCUCUCUCCGUGCACUUGAUGGAGAUAGUGAUGUCUAUGAGUGUGCUUUUGUGCAGUCUGACAUAUCAGAGCUUCCAUUCUUUGCGUCAAGGAUUAAAAUAGGAAAGAAUGGGGUUGAGGCUUUGAUUUCAUCUGACCUUCAAGGACUGUCUGAGUAUGAACAGAAAGCUCUGGAUGCUUUAAAGCCAGAAUUGAAGUCUAGCAUUGAGAAGGGUACAGGUUUUGUUCAGAAAGAACCUGUAGCUGCUUAGGAUAAUACAAGCUGAAGAAACGAUGACAGGAAUAAAGCAAUUUAGCAAAAUUCACGUUGAUCAACAUAUUCCAGUUUUGCAGUUGAGUUGAAAGGUGCUUCUGUUACGGAGUAACAAACAAUAGGAUGUAGAAUUGUAUCUCCUUUCUGGUAUUGGUAUGUAACUCUCAAGUGACGAUGUUGAGGCACUCUUGUCAUGUUCCUUUUUUU
RNAcentral lists this unclassified non-coding RNA (1528 nucleotides) under Hevea brasiliensis (rubber tree). The record is from RNAcentral. Lineage: Eukaryota; Viridiplantae; Streptophyta; Magnoliopsida; Malpighiales; Euphorbiaceae.